CCUACGGGAGGCAGCAGUGAGGAAUAUUGGUCAAUGGGCGGAAGCCUGAACCAGCCAAGUAGCGUGCGGGAUGAAGGCCCUACGGGUCGUAAACCGCUUUUGCAUGGGGAUAACACCCUCCACUUGUGGAGGUCUGCAGGUACCGUGCGAAUAAGGGCCGGCUAAUUCCGUGCCAGCAGCCGCGGUAAUACGGAAGGCCCGAGCGUUAUCCGGAUUCAUUGGGCUUAAAGGGAGCGUAGGCGGGCGUUCAAGUCAGCUGUAAAAGCGCGCGGCUCAACCGCGCCCCGCAGUUGAAACUGGACGCCUUGAGUUCACAACAGGCAGGCGGAAUUCGUGGUGUAGCGGUGAAAUGCAUAGAUAUCACGAGGAACCCCGAUUGCGAAGGCAGCCUGCCGGGGUGCGACUGACGCUGAGGCUCGAAGGUGCGGGUAUCAAACAGGAUUAGAUACCCCAGUAGUC
This 459-nucleotide ribosomal RNA is filed under the name uncultured bacterium. Its description in RNAcentral is "partial 16S ribosomal RNA". It matches the Rfam family "Bacterial small subunit ribosomal RNA", at positions 338 to 795 of the family's 1533-position model. The record is from RNAcentral.